Molecule: ribosomal RNA, 479 nt
Filed under: Rossellomorea aquimaris
Lineage: Bacteria; Bacillati; Bacillota; Bacilli; Caryophanales; Bacillaceae
Description: bacterial SSU rRNA
Rfam family: Bacterial small subunit ribosomal RNA
Source: RNAcentral
AUCCUGGCUCAGGACGAACGCUGGCGGCGUGCCUAAUACAUGCAAGUCGAGCGGAUCGAUGGGAGCUUGCUCCCUGAGAUCAGCGGCGGACGGGUGAGUAACACGUGGGUAACCUGCCUGUAAGACUGGGAUAACUCCGGGAAACCGGGGCUAAUACCGGAUAACACCUACCCCCGCAUGGGGGAAGGUUGAAAGGUGGCUUCGGCUAUCACUUACAGAUGGACCCGCGGCGCAUUAGCUAGUUGGUGAGGUAAUGGCUCACCAAGGCGACGAUGCGUAGCCGACCUGAGAGGGUGAUCGGCCACACUGGGACUGAGACACGGCCCAGACUCCUACGGGAGGCAGCAGUAGGGAAUCUUCCGCAAUGGACGAAAGUCUGACGGAGCAACGCCGCGUGAGUGAAGAAGGUUUUCGGAUCGUAAAACUCUGUUGUUAGGGAAGAACAAGUGCCGUUCGAAUAGGGCGGCGCCUUGACGGUA